ACAUGAUCGGCGAGGUUUGUAGUCCCGUCAUAGCUCUCCAGCUGAGGAACCUUGAAGUUUGGUGGGAUAGGUUCCUAAAAAAUACUUGCCACAAAAGGUGGUUUGGAAUCGAACCCAUCGGAUGGUGUUGACGAGUUGUUGCAAAUCUAUUGGAUCUUUCGAUCCAUUUCUCGAAGUCUUCGCUCGACUUUCACAUCUUGGUUGGUAUGCGUUUCAGAGUGCGGAGGA
This 228-nucleotide long non-coding RNA is filed under the name Elaeis guineensis (African oil palm). RNAcentral's name for it is "long non-coding RNA (EGUI_LNC019107)". The record is from RNAcentral. Lineage: Eukaryota; Viridiplantae; Streptophyta; Magnoliopsida; Arecales; Arecaceae.